UACGUAGGGUGCGAGCGUUAAUCGGAAUUACUGGGCGUAAAGGGUGCGCAGGCGGUCUCACAAGCUAGAUGUGAAAGCCCCGGGCUUAACCUGGGAAUGGCAUUUAGGACUGUGGGGCUGGAGUGCGGCAGAGGGAGGUGGAAUUCCACGUGUAGCAGUGAAAUGCGUAGAGAUGUGGAGGAACACCGAUGGCGAAGGCAGCCUCCUGGGCCGACACUGACGCUCAUGCACGAAAGCGUGGGGAGCAAACAGG
Molecule: ribosomal RNA, 253 nt
Filed under: uncultured bacterium
Lineage: Bacteria
Description: partial 16S ribosomal RNA
Rfam family: Bacterial small subunit ribosomal RNA
Source: RNAcentral